GAUGAAGAACGUAGCGAAAUGCGAUAAGUAAUGUGAAUUGCAGAAUUCAGUGAAUCAUCGAAUCUUUGAACGCACCUUGCGCUCCUUGGUAUUCCGAGGAGCAUGCCUGUUUGAGUGUCAUGAAAUUCUCAACCUUUCUGGCUUUUGCUAGUCAGGCUUGGAUUAUGGGAGCUGCUGGCUUUUGAAGUCGGCUCUUCUAAAAUGUAUUAGCAAGAUCAUUGCUGCUCAUCAUUGGUAUGAUAAUUAUCUAUAUCAUUGAGAGUCAGUUUCCUUUAUUGGAAGAUUUUGCUCCUAACUGUCUUUAGCAAGACAACAUUUGACGAUUUUGACCUCAAAUCAGGUAGGACUACCCGCUGAACUUAAGCAUAUCAAUAAGCGGAGGA
This 383-nucleotide unclassified non-coding RNA is filed under the name soil metagenome. RNAcentral's name for it is "partial contains 5.8S ribosomal RNA, internal transcribed spacer 2, and large subunit ribosomal RNA". The stretch from base 1 to 120 matches the Rfam family "5.8S ribosomal RNA", at positions 35 to 154 of the family's 154-position model. The record is from RNAcentral.